RNAcentral lists this ribosomal RNA (744 nucleotides) under uncultured bacterium. RNAcentral describes it as "bacterial SSU rRNA". It matches the Rfam family "Bacterial small subunit ribosomal RNA", at positions 8 to 796 of the family's 1533-position model. The record is from RNAcentral.
AGAGUUUGAUCCUGGCUCAGAACGAACGCUGGCGGCAGGCUUAACACAUGCAAGUCGAACGGAUGUAGCAAUACAUUAGUGGCGCACGGGUGAGUAAUACAUGGGAACGUGCCUUAGAGUCUGGGAUAACAGCGGGAAACUGCUGCUAAUACCGGAUAUUCCCUCCGGGGGAAAGAUUUAUCGCUCUAAGAUCGGCCCAUGCCAGAUUAGGUAGUUGGUGGGGUAAAAGCCUACCAAGCCUACGAUCUGUAGCUGGUCUGAGAGGACGACCAGCCACACUGGAACUGAGACACGGUCCAGACUCCUACGGGAGGCAGCAGUGGGGAAUAUUGGACAAUGGGGGAAACCCUGAUCCAGCCAUGCCGCGUGAGUGAUGAAGGCCUUAGGGUUGUAAAGCUCUUUUGUCAGGGAAGAUGAUGACGGUACCUGAAGAAUAAGCACCGGCUAACUUCGUGCCAGCAGCCGCGGUAAUACGAAGGGUGCUAGCGUUGUUCGGAUUUACUGGGCGUAAAGCGUGCGUAGGUGGCUUUACAAGUCAGGGGUGAAAUCCUGGAGCUCAACUCCAGAAUUGCCUUUGAAACUGUAAAGCUAGAGUAUCGGAGGGGAUAGCGGAAUUGCUAAUGUAGAGGUGAAAUUCGUAGAUAUUAGCAGGAACACCGGUGGCGAAGGCGGCUAUCUGGACGAUUACUGACACUCUGGCACGAAAGCGCGGGGAUCAAACAGGAUUAGAUACCCUAGUAGUCC